UCGGGAAUUUUGGGCAAUGGGCGAAAGCCUGACCCAGCAACACCGCGUGAGGGAUGGAGUAUUUCGGUAUGUAAACCUCGAAAGAAUGGGAAGAAUAAAUGACGGUACCAUUUAUAAGCUCCGGCUAACUACGUGCCAGCAGCCGCGGUAAUACGUAGGGAGCAAGCGUUGUUCGGAUUUACUGGGCGUAAAGGGCGCGUAGGCGGCGCGGUAAGUCACUUGUGAAAUCUCUGAGCUUAACUCAGAACGGCCAAGUGAUACUGCUGUGCUAGAGUGCGGAAGAGGCAACCGGAAUUCUUGGUGUAGCGGUGAAAUGCGUAGAUAUCAAGAGGAACACCUGAGGCGAAGGCGGGUUGCUGGGCCGACACUGACGCUGAUGCGCGAAAGCCAGGGGAGCAAACG
This 402-nucleotide ribosomal RNA is filed under the name uncultured bacterium. RNAcentral describes it as "bacterial SSU rRNA". It matches the Rfam family "Bacterial small subunit ribosomal RNA", at positions 355 to 774 of the family's 1533-position model. The record is from RNAcentral.